Asparagus officinalis (garden asparagus) is the source of this 171-nucleotide long non-coding RNA. RefSeq lists it as uncharacterized. NCBI's taxonomy places the organism in Eukaryota, Viridiplantae, Streptophyta, Magnoliopsida, Asparagales, Asparagaceae. The transcript has 3 exons. The record is from RefSeq and is a predicted model, not a curated record.
CGGUGAUUCAGAAAUUUACAUUCUACUUCUUGGAUUGCAUAAUCACUAUACAUUUGCAUAAGAGUACCUUCUUCCAAAUGACUUCAAACCAAGGAACAAUGGCAUCCACCAACGAAGCACAAAUUCCACACAUCCAAAUACGCCAACUAAAAAAAUUUCAAAGAGAGUGGA